AAGAAAAAAGAAAUGGAAAAAAA
RNAcentral lists this ribosomal RNA (23 nucleotides) under Stereophaedusa ijimae. Its description in RNAcentral is "Megalophaedusa ijimae partial 5.8S rRNA". The record is from RNAcentral. Lineage: Eukaryota; Metazoa; Mollusca; Gastropoda; Stylommatophora; Clausiliidae.